RNAcentral lists this ribosomal RNA (253 nucleotides) under uncultured bacterium. RNAcentral's name for it is "partial 16S ribosomal RNA". It matches the Rfam family "Bacterial small subunit ribosomal RNA", at positions 524 to 776 of the family's 1533-position model. The record is from RNAcentral.
UACAGAGGGUGCUAGCGUUGUUCGGAAUCAUUGGGCGUAAAGGGUGCGUAGGCGGCGCGGUAAGUCGGGUGUGAAAUCUCGGGGCUUAACUCCGAAACUGCAUUCGAUACUGCCGUGCUUGAGGACUGGAGAGGAGACUGGAAUUUACGGUGUAGCGGUGAAAUGCGUAGAUAUCGUAAGGAAGACCAGUGGCGAAGGCGGGUCUCUGGACAGUUCCUGACGCUGAGGCACGAAGGCCAGGGGAGCAAACGGG